This 331-nucleotide ribosomal RNA is filed under the name uncultured fungus. RNAcentral describes it as "SSU rRNA". It matches the Rfam family "Eukaryotic small subunit ribosomal RNA", at positions 39 to 352 of the family's 1831-position model. Lineage: Eukaryota; Fungi. The record is from RNAcentral.
AAAGAUUAAGCCAUGCAUGUCUAAGUACAUGCCGUAUUAAGGCGAAACCGCGAAUGGCUCAUUAAAUCAGUUACGGUUCCCUAGAUGUUGACUAUCUACAUGGAUAACUGUGGUAAUUCUAGAGCUAAUACAUGCACAAAAGCCUUGACCUUAACGGAAAAGGCGCAUUUAUUAGACCAAGACCAACGGGUUGGUCAGGCAACUGGCCAAUCCUCAUAUGUGGUGACUCUGGAUAACUUUCGCUAAUCGCAUGGCCUAUGAGCCGGCGAUGAAUCUUUCAAGUGUCUGCCUUAUCAACUGUCGAUGGUAGGUUAUGCGCCUACCAUGGUUG